AUGGCAAUGGUGACGGUGGCGCACUUCUUGCUCCCGAUUCUUCUAUUUGCCGUCGUGAGCUCGGCUGUGGCAGCGACGGAGCAAAAGGAGACCGAGGCGGCGGCGCUGCGGGAGUUCAAGCGCGCGCUGGUGGACGUCGACGUGCGCCUUUCGAGCUGGGACGACGCGGCGAGCCCGUGCGGGUGGGCCGGCAUUGCCUGCUCCGUCGCACGUGAGGUGACCGGCGUCACGCUCCACGGGCUCGGCCUCGGUGGAGCGCUCUCCCCCGCCGUCUGCGCGCUCCCGCGGCUCGCCGUGCUCAACGUGUCCAAGAACGCGCUGUCCGGCCCCGUCCCCGCAGGGCUCGCCGCGUGCCGCGCGCUGGAGGUGCUCGACCUCAGCACCAACUCCCUCCACGGCGCCGUCCCGCCAGAGCUCUGCGCGCUCCCGUCCCUCCGCCGGCUCUUCCUCAGCGAGAACCUGCUCACCGGCGAGAUCCCCGCCUACAUCGGCAACCUCACCGCCCUGGAGGAGCUCGUCAUCUACACCAACAACCUCACCGGCGGGAUCCCCGCGUCCGUCCGCACGCUGCAGCGGCUCCGUGUGGUCCGCGCGGGUCUCAACGACCUUUCCGGCCCGAUCCCGGUCGAGAUUAGCGAGUGCAGCAGCCUGGAGGUGCUCGGGCUCGCGCAGAACAGCCUCGCCGGGACGCUGCCCCGCGAGCUCUCCCGGCUCAAGAACCUCACCACGUUGAUCCUGUGGCAGAACGCCUUGACCGGCGAGAUCCCACCGGAGCUGGGGAACUGCACGAACCUGGAGAUGCUGGCGUUGAACGACAACGCCUUCACCGGCGGCGUGCCGAGGGAGCUCGGGGCGCUGCCCAUGCUCGUAAAGCUCUACAUUUACCGGAACCACCUGGACGGCACCAUCCCAAAGGAGCUCGGGAACCUGCAGAGCGCCGUGGAGAUUGACCUGUCAGAGAACAAGCUGACAGGAGCCAUCCCGAGCGAGCUCGGCAAGAUACAGACGCUACGGCUGCUCCACCUCUUCGAGAACCGCCUGCAAGGCAGCAUCCCGCGGGAGCUGGGCAAGCUGGGUGUCAUAAGGAGAAUAGACCUGUCCAUCAACAACCUCACCGGCGCAAUUCCGAUGGAGUUUCAGAACCUGCCCUGCUUGGAGUACCUGCAGCUGUUCGACAACCAGAUCCAUGGUGCCAUCCCUCCUUUGCUAGGGGCGAGAAGCACACUGUCGGUGCUGGAUUUGUCGGACAACCGGUUGACGGGCAGCAUCCCGCCGCACCUGUGCAGGCACCAGAAGCUCAUCUUCUUGAGCCUGGGGUCAAACCGUCUCAUCGGCAACAUCCCUCCGGGAGUGAAGGCUUGCAAGACCCUGACCCAACUCCGGCUGGGGGGUAACAUGCUGACGGGGAGCCUGCCCGUGGAGCUGUCGGCGAUGCAGAACCUGUCGGCGCUUGAGAUGAACCAGAACCGCUUCUCAGGCCCGAUACCGCCUGAGGUCGGCAAGUUCAGGAGCAUAGAGAGGCUCAUUCUGUCGGGGAAUUACUUCGUCGGACAGGUCCCCGCUGGCAUUGGCAACCUCACGGAGCUUGUCGCCUUCAAUAUAUCAUCCAACCAGCUCACCGGACCCAUUCCUCGGGAGUUGGCAAGGUGCACAAAGCUACAGAGGCUUGAUCUCAGCAGAAACUCCUUCGCCGGCCUCAUUCCUAAGGAGAUCGGCACACUGGUGAACCUGGAGCAGCUCAAGCUAUCAGACAACAGUCUGAAUGGCACCAUUCCUGCAAGUUUUGGAGGCCUUUCCCGGCUCACGGAGCUGCAGAUGGGAGGCAACCGUCUGUCCGGCUCUGUGCCGGUUGAGCUUGGCAAACUCAAUGCCCUCCAGAUUGCUCUAAAUCUCAGCUACAACAUGCUAUCCGGUGAGAUCCCAGCUCAGCUAGGGAACUUGCGGAUGCUGGAAUACCUCUACUUGAACAACAAUGAGCUUCAAGGAGAGGUUCCUUCCUCCUUCACUGAACUCUCAAGCCUCAUGGAGUGCAACCUUUCCUACAAUAAUCUUGUUGGGUCGCUUCCCAGCACCCUGCUGUUCCAGCACCUGGACAGCAGCAACUUCCUUGGGAACAAUGGCCUCUGCGGUAUCAAAGGAAAAGCUUGUUCACAUGCAGCCUACGCAAGCAAUGAAGCAGCAGCACGCAACAAGCGGUUUCUUAGAGAGAAGAUCAUCAGCGUUGCCUCUAUCAUCGUCAUAUUGGUUUCAUUGGUGCUGAUUGCACUUGUCUGCUGGCUCUUAAAAUCCAACAUGCCCAAGCUUGUAUCAACUGAAGAGCGCAAGACUGGGUUUUCUGGUCCUCACUACUUUCUUAAGGAGCGGAUAACCUAUCAGGAGCUUUUGAAAGCCACCGGGAGCUUCUCGGAGAGUGCUGUGAUUGGAAGGGGUGCUUCUGGCACAGUCUACAAGGCUGUCAUGCCUGAUGGCCGACGAGUUGCAGUGAAAAAGCUCAGAUGUCAAGGAGAAGGUUCCAGUGUCGACAGAAGCUUCCGAGCCGAGAUAACUACCCUUGGAAAUGUCAGGCACCGCAACAUCGUCAAACUCUAUGGUUUCUGUUCCAACCAGGACUCCAAUCUUAUACUGUAUGAGUACAUGGAAAAUGGUAGCCUUGGAGAGUUGCUUCAUGGCACCAAGGACGCAUACCUCCUGGACUGGGACACACGGUACCGGAUCGCCUUCGGGGCUGCUGAAGGCCUACGCUACCUUCACAGCGAUUGCAAGCCAAAGGUGAUUCACCGUGACAUUAAAUCCAAUAACAUACUGCUCGAUGAGAUGAUGGAGGCUCAUGUGGGAGACUUUGGUUUGGCAAAAAUCAUCGACAUUUCCAACAGCAGGACCAUGUCCGCUGUAGCCGGUUCAUACGGUUACAUUGCCCCAGAGUAUGCUUUCACCAUGAAGGUGACUGAAAAGUGUGAUAUUUAUAGUUUCGGGGUGGUUUUGUUGGAACUAGUGACUGGGCAAUGUGCAAUUCAGCCUCUUGAGAAAGGAGGAGAUCUUGUCAAUUUGGUGAGGCGGACAAUGAACAGCAUGACACCAAAUUCUCAAGUUUUUGACAGCAGACUCGAUCUCAACUCAAAGAGGGUUGUGGAAGAAAUGAAUCUGGUGAUGAAGAUUGCAUUGUUCUGCACCAGUGAAUCACCAUUGGAUAGGCCUAGCAUGCGAGAAGUGAUAUCAAUGUUGAUUGAUGCUAGGGCCUCUUCUUGUGAUUCAUUCUCAUCUCCAGCAUCAGAGUCACCUAUUAAAGAUGAUUCUUCCUUUAGGCUUUAG
Molecule: ribosomal RNA, 3309 nt
Filed under: Triticum aestivum (bread wheat)
Lineage: Eukaryota; Viridiplantae; Streptophyta; Magnoliopsida; Poales; Poaceae
Description: partial small subunit ribosomal RNA
Source: RNAcentral